AGUGAACGCUGGCGGUAGGCCUAACACAUGCAAGUCGAACGGCAGCACAGUAAGAGCUUGCUCUUACGGGUGGCGAGUGGCGGACGGGUGAGGAAUACAUCGGAAUCUACUUUUUCGUGGGGGAUAACGUAGGGAAACUUACGCUAAUACCGCAUACGACCUACGGGUGAAAGCAGGGGAUCUUCGGACCUUGCGCGAUUGAAUGAGCCGAUGUCGGAUUAGCUAGUUGGCGGGGUAAAGGCCCACCAAGGCGACGAUCCGUAGCUGGUCUGAGAGGAUGAUACGCCAACAUGGAAAUAGGACCGGGUCCAGACCCAUAGGGGGGGACGGGGUGGGGAAAUUGGAACAGAGGGCGCAAGCCUGACCAAGCCAAACCGGGGGGGUAAAGAAGGCCUUCGGGUUGGAAAGCCUUUUUGUGGGGAAAAAAAAGAAGCGGGUUAAACCCCCGGUUUUCUGGCGGUCCCCAAAGAAUAAGACCCGGAUAACUUCGU
Molecule: ribosomal RNA, 491 nt
Filed under: uncultured bacterium
Lineage: Bacteria
Description: partial 16S ribosomal RNA
Rfam family: Bacterial small subunit ribosomal RNA
Source: RNAcentral